GUGGGGAAUAUUGCACAAUGGGGGAAACCCUGAUGCAGCAACGCCGCGUGGAGGAUGACGCAUUUCGGUGUGUAAACUCCUUUUAUAAGGGAAGAUAAUGACGGUACCUUAUGAAUAAGCACCGGCUAACUCCGUGCCAGCAGCCGCGGUAAUACGGAGGGUGCAAGCGUUACUCGGAAUCACUGGGCGUAAAGGAUGCGUAGGCUGUAAUAUAAGUCAGAAGUGAAAUCCAACGGCUUAACCGUUGAACUGCUUUUGAAACUGUUUUACUAGAAUAUGGGAGAGGUAGAUGGAAUUGGUGGUGUAGGGGUAAAAUCCGUAGAUAUCACCAGGAAUACCGAUUGCGAAGGCGAUCUACUGGAACAUUAUUGACGCUGAGGCAUGAAAGCGUGGGGAGCAAACAGGGUUAGAUACCCGAGUAGUCC
This 425-nucleotide ribosomal RNA is filed under the name uncultured bacterium. RNAcentral describes it as "partial 16S ribosomal RNA". It matches the Rfam family "Bacterial small subunit ribosomal RNA", at positions 354 to 796 of the family's 1533-position model. The record is from RNAcentral.